AGGGGUGUCGCCAAGCGGUAAGGCACAGGGUUUUGAUCUCUGCAUACCUAGGUUCGAAUCCUAGCACCCCUGCCA
RNAcentral lists this transfer RNA (75 nucleotides) under Legionella sp. RNAcentral's name for it is "tRNA-Gln". It matches the Rfam family "tRNA". From Rfam's summary of the family: Transfer RNA (tRNA) molecules are approximately 80 nucleotides in length. Lineage: Bacteria; Pseudomonadati; Pseudomonadota; Gammaproteobacteria; Legionellales; Legionellaceae. The record is from RNAcentral.